Molecule: ribosomal RNA, 907 nt
Filed under: uncultured archaeon
Lineage: Archaea
Description: bacterial SSU rRNA
Rfam family: Archaeal small subunit ribosomal RNA
Source: RNAcentral
GUCGAUUCUGCCGGACCCGACUGCUAUCAGAGUGGGACUAAGCCAUGCGAGUCAACAUAGCAAUAUGUGGCAUACGGCUCAGUAACACGUAGUCAACAUGCCCAGGGGACGUGGAUAACCUCGGGAAACUGAGGAUAAACCGCGAUAAGUCACUACUUCUGGAAUGGGUAAUGACUCAAAUCUAUAUGGCCCCUGGAUUGGACUGCGGCCGAUCAGGCUGUUGGUGAGGUAAUGGCCCACCAAACCUGUAACCGGUACGGGCUCUGAGAGGAGGAGCCCGGAGAUGGGCACUGAGACAAGGGCCCAGGCCCUAUGGGGCGCAGCAGGCGCGAAACCUCUGCAAUAGGCGAAAGCCUGACAGGGUUACUCUGAGUGAUUUCCGUUAAGGAAAUCUUUUGGCACCUCUAAAAAUGGUGCAGAAUAAGGGGUGGGCAAGUCUGGUGUCAGCCGCCGCGGUAAUACCAGCACCCCGAGUGGUCGGGACGUUUAUUGGGCCUAAAGCAUCCGUAGCCGGUUCUACAAGUCUUCCGUUAAAUCCAACUGCUUAACAGGUGGGCUGCGGAAGAUACUAUAGAGCUAGGAGGCGGGAGAGGCAAGCGGUACUCGAUGGGUAGGGGUAAAAUCCGUUGAUCCAUUGAAGACCACCAGUGGCGAAGGCGGCUUGCCAGAACGCGCUCGACGGUGAGGGAUGAAAGCUGGGGGAGCAAACCGGAUUAGAUACCCGGGUAGUCCCAGCUGUAAACGAUGCAGACUCGGUGAUGAAUUGGCUUUAUGCCUAUUCAGUGCCGCAGGGAAGCCGUUAAGUUUGCCGCCUGGGGAGUACGGUCGCAAGACUGAAACUUAAAGGAAUUGGCGGGGGAGCACCACAAGGGGUGAAGCCUGCGGUUCAAUUGGAGUCAACSCCGGG